Molecule: unclassified non-coding RNA, 342 nt
Filed under: soil metagenome
Description: partial contains 5.8S ribosomal RNA, internal transcribed spacer 2, and large subunit ribosomal RNA
Rfam family: 5.8S ribosomal RNA (bases 1-120)
Source: RNAcentral
GAUGAAGAACGCAGCGAAAUGCGAUAAGUAGUGUGAAUUGCAGAAUUCAGUGAAUCAUCGAAUCUUUGAACGCACAUUGCGCCCCUUGGUAUUCCAUGGGGCAUGCCUGUUCGAGCGUCAUUUCAACCAUCAAGCCCCCAGGGGCUUGUGCUGGGGCCCUGCGGCUGCCCGCAGGCCCUGAAAACCAGUGGCGGGCUCGCUAGUCACACCGAGCGCAGUAGCACAUCUCGCUCAGGGCGUGCGGCGGGCUCCUGCCGUGAAACCCCCCACUGUAACCCCAAAGGUUGACCUCGGAUCAGGUAGGAAUACCCGCUGAACUUAAGCAUAUCAAUAAGCGGAGGA